Non-coding RNA from Podospora didyma, 82 nucleotides. NCBI's taxonomy places the organism in Eukaryota, Fungi, Ascomycota, Sordariomycetes, Sordariales, Podosporaceae. The record is from the annotation of a GenBank genome assembly.
GGGAUAAUAGUAUAGUGGUCAGUACUUCUCGUUGUGGAACAUUGAUUCCGAGAGGACCCAGGUUCGAUUCCUGGUUAUCCCA